AGCUCCAUUAGCGUAUAUUAAAGUUGUUGCAGUUAAAAAGCUCGUAGUUGGAUUUCAGUACGGGCCAGUUGGUCGGCCGCAAGGCCUGUUACUGGCUGGUCUGUUCUUCUUGUCAAAGACUGCGUGUGCUCUUCGUUGAGUGUGCGUAGGAUUUGGGACGUUUACUUUGAAAAAAUUAGAGUGCUCCAGGCAGGCUUGACACGCUUGAAUAGUCGUGCAUGGAAUAAUGGAAUAGGACGUCGUUUCUAUUUUGUUGGUUUUCGGAUAUCGACGUAAUGAUUAAUAGGGACAGUCGGGGGCAUUAGUAUUCAGACGACAGAGGUGAAAUUCUUGGACCGUCUGAAGACUCACUACUGCGAAAGCAUUUGCCAAGAAUGUUUUCAUUAAUCAAGAACGAAAG
RNAcentral lists this ribosomal RNA (400 nucleotides) under phytoplankton environmental sample. Its description in RNAcentral is "partial small subunit ribosomal RNA". It matches the Rfam family "Eukaryotic small subunit ribosomal RNA", at positions 587 to 989 of the family's 1831-position model. The record is from RNAcentral.